GACGAACGCUGGCGGCGUGCCUAAUACAUGCCAGUCGAACGCACAGUUUAUACCGUAGCUUGCUACACCAUAGACUGUGAGUUGCGAACGGGUGAGUAACGCGUAGGUAACCUGCCUGGUAGCGGGGGAUAACUAUUGGAAACGAUAGCUAAUACCGCAUAAUAUUGAUUAUUGCAUGAUAAUUGAUUGAAAGAUGCUAUUGCAUCACUACCAGAUGGACCUGCGUUGUAUUAGCUAGUAAGUGAGGUAACGGCUCACCUAGGCGACGAUACAUAGCCGACCUGAGAGGGUGAUCGGCCACACUGGGACUGAGACACGGCCCAGACUCCUACGGGAGGCAGCAGUAGGGAAUCUUCGGCAAUGGACGAAAGUCUGACCGAGCAACGCCGCGUGAGUGAAGAAGGUUUUCGGAUCGUAAAGCUCUGUUGUAAGAGAAGAACGGGUGUGAGAGUGGAAAGUUCACACUGUGACGGUAUCUUACCAGAAAGGGACGGCUAACUACGUG
RNAcentral lists this ribosomal RNA (505 nucleotides) under uncultured bacterium. RNAcentral's name for it is "partial 16S ribosomal RNA". It matches the Rfam family "Bacterial small subunit ribosomal RNA", at positions 28 to 507 of the family's 1533-position model. The record is from RNAcentral.